UACAGAGGUCCCAAGCGUUGUUCGGAUUCACUGGGCGUAAAGGGUGCGUAGGCGGUCGGGUAAGUCGGAUGUGAAAUCCCCGGGCUCAACCUGGGAAUUGCAUUCGAGACUGCAAGGCUUGGGUGCGGAAGAGGGAAGCGGAAUUUCCGGUGUAGCGGUGAAAUGCGUAGAUAUCGGAAGGAACAUCAGUGGCGAAAGCGGCUUCCUGGUCCAGCACCGACGUUCAGGCACGAAAGCGUGGGGAGCAAACAGG
Molecule: ribosomal RNA, 253 nt
Filed under: uncultured bacterium
Lineage: Bacteria
Description: partial 16S ribosomal RNA
Rfam family: Bacterial small subunit ribosomal RNA
Source: RNAcentral